UACGUAGGGGGCAAGCGUUGUCCGGAAUUAUUGGGCGUAAAGAGCGCGUAGGCGGUCCGAUAAGUCGGCUGUGAAAGUCAGGGGCUCAACCCUUGGAAGCCGGCCGAUACUGUCGGACUAGAGUCCGGAAGAGGCAAGUGGAAUUCCCGGUGUAGCGGUGAAAUGCGCAGAUAUCGGGAGGAACACCAAUGGCGAAGGCAGCUCGCUGGGACGGUACUGACGCUGAGGCGCGAAAGCGUGGGGAGCAAACAGG
RNAcentral lists this ribosomal RNA (253 nucleotides) under uncultured bacterium. Its description in RNAcentral is "partial 16S ribosomal RNA". It matches the Rfam family "Bacterial small subunit ribosomal RNA", at positions 524 to 776 of the family's 1533-position model. The record is from RNAcentral.